GGGAGUGUGCCCGAGCGGCCAAAGGGAACAGACUGUAAAUCUGUCGGCGUAUGCCUACGGUGGUUCGAAUCCACCCGCUCCCA
This 83-nucleotide transfer RNA is filed under the name Planctomycetes bacterium SM23_25. Its description in RNAcentral is "tRNA-Tyr". It matches the Rfam family "tRNA". Rfam says of the family: Transfer RNA (tRNA) molecules are approximately 80 nucleotides in length. Their secondary structure includes four short double-helical elements and three loops (D, anti-codon, and T loops). The record is from RNAcentral. RNAcentral also lists the same sequence under 2 other names. Lineage: Bacteria; Pseudomonadati; Planctomycetota.